Molecule: long non-coding RNA, 366 nt
Filed under: Phoenix dactylifera (date palm)
Lineage: Eukaryota; Viridiplantae; Streptophyta; Magnoliopsida; Arecales; Arecaceae
Description: long non-coding RNA (PDAC_LNC022398)
Source: RNAcentral
GGUAGGGUCAUAUCACCGACUAUUCUUCUUGCGAUACCAAUGUAUUAGCCCCCAUUGGCAGGGUCCUCAACAUAGCCCGACUGCAAGCCUGAAUCUAUUUCAAGUCAUAAUCUUUUCUUACAUUAUAUUUAAUGUUCCAAACCAAAGGGUACAAUGUUAGAGUAAUUAAACACAAUUUGAACCAGAAGCAAAUACGUCCAAUCAGAAUCAUACAAUAUUCUAAAAUACACAUAUAAUCCAUGCAUUAAAUUCGAAAUCACGAACAAUUCAAUUCGUAAAACAUAUACAUAGUUUGCCGAUAAAUCUAGUAAAGAGGUUACAUCACUUACCUUGCGAACGCGAUCCACGACAAAUCCAAUUAAUUCC